Molecule: unclassified non-coding RNA, 469 nt
Filed under: Hevea brasiliensis (rubber tree)
Lineage: Eukaryota; Viridiplantae; Streptophyta; Magnoliopsida; Malpighiales; Euphorbiaceae
Source: RNAcentral
CGCAUAUUUAGAUUAUUAAUGAUAUCACUGUUUUGACCCUAUUAAAAAGUCAGGUGGUAUUGGGAUAAACACUCAAUUAUUUAGCUACAGGCCAUUAUAUUAGACUCCACGAUAUUGAGUUUUUAAUUAGUUUUUGGAUGGAGUGUUUGUGACUUUUAAACUUUUAAAAAAGUAGGAAAAAAAAAAAAAGAAAGAAAAACUUAUUGAUUGCGCCGAAUGGUUUUCGCUAUCAGCUUUUUAUGCGACCUUCUGUAGAGGGCUGCCUAGAUUGGGUAAGGCAACAGGGCAUGGGAUAAGGAUAACUUGGAUAAGGGAGCAAGUUGGUCCCCACUCUUUUUGCCUUAUGUUUGUAAAUAAUGGAUUACCAGUCUUUUGGGCUGACGAGUUGUGUCGUUAAGAAAACUUAUUUAUAGCAAUUUGAUACGUAUAAUGAAUUUUGUGAUAGUUAAACGUCAAAUUUUUUUUCCCC